GCCCAAGAGAUCGGGAUAACACCUGGAAACAGAUGCUAAUACCGGAUAACAACAGAUGAUGCCUAUCAACUGUUUAAAAGAUGGUUCUGCUAUUACUCUUGGAUGGACCUGCGGUGCAUUAGCUAGUUGGUAGGGUAACGGCCUACCAAGGCGAUGAUGCAUAGCCGAGUUGAGAGACUGAUCGGCCACAUUGGGACUGAGACACGGGCCCAAACUCCUACGGGAGGCAGCAGCC
RNAcentral lists this ribosomal RNA (235 nucleotides) under uncultured Lactobacillus sp. Its description in RNAcentral is "partial 16S ribosomal RNA". It matches the Rfam family "Bacterial small subunit ribosomal RNA", at positions 128 to 355 of the family's 1533-position model. The record is from RNAcentral. Lineage: Bacteria; Bacillati; Bacillota; Bacilli; Lactobacillales; Lactobacillaceae.